GUUCGAGCGUCAUUAUAACCACUUCAAGCCUGGCUUGGUCUUGGGGUUUGCGGUUUCGCAGCCCCUAAAAUCAGUGGCGGUGCCGGUGUGGCUCUACGCGUAGUAAUUCUUCUCGCGAUGGAGUUCCCCUGGUUGCUCGCCAGAACCCCCAAUUUUUACAGGUUGACCUCGGAUCAGGUAGGGAUACCCGCUGAACUUAA
Molecule: unclassified non-coding RNA, 200 nt
Filed under: soil metagenome
Description: partial contains internal transcribed spacer 2 and large subunit ribosomal RNA
Source: RNAcentral